UGCUCGCCCAGUAAAAGGGAUCUGGGCAGGGCACCGCCAGUACUGACUGCACCUACCAACCUGUGAUAUAUUCUGAUGUUUCUUUCCCCUCUCCGCUCCUUUCCCCUCAUCUUUCGUCUUCCCUUUCCCCUUCUUCCCCCUCCCCCCUUCCCCUUCCUUCUGUUUAUUCCCACUAAAUUGAUUUCAUUAAUUUACUGAAUUAGUGGGGACAAGAUAGAGUAUUCAAUAUAUGGUGCUGGAAUAAUUGGCUGUUUAUGUAGAAAAUAAAGCAAAAUUAUAUCCCUCAUCUACACACACACACACACACACACACAUUCAUGGAUGAGUCAAAGUCUAAAUGUGUUUAUUCUAGCCUCUCUUCUCUUCCUCCUCCCCCUCCAUUCUGUUCAUUGCCUACUAAAAUUGAUCUCAUUAUCUGUUAAUGGGUGAAAACCUCAAGUUUUAGAAACACCGUUCUGAGAUUUGCCUAGAAGAGGAAUUGCCAAGGAUAUGCACAGCAUCUACAUUGGAAGAUACUACCUGGCUUUGCAAAACAGUUUUUACUGAUUUAUUUUUCUGCCAGGCAAUCACAUCACCUAUAAAUAAGAAGAGGUUUGAGGUUUCCUUCUCAAGUUUGAUGCUUCUCAUUUUAAUUUUUUAUUAGCUCCAGGUUCAUCAUUAUGGGAACCUCCUUCCCACGGAAUAUUCUCUGAUGGAGAGCCAAGAAAAUGGUCACCUCAAUCUACAGAUCAUAUCCAGAGAAGACAAAUUGCUAACCUAAAGCCACAUAGCAUCAUCUCAGGAAAUAAAUCUGGGACUUCUGAUUCCCAGAUCACUGUUUUCUUUGAGAUCAUUGAAAGACAGAUAUAAUUGAUUGAACAAAAUGCAUGAACUAUGCAAAAUGGAAGGUGUUGCAAGUUCCAAUGAAUAUAGCAAAGCAAUACAAAAGCAGCCUGAGAUCAGGAAUAUAGGCAGGAAAUAGCCAGAUGUGGUUCAGAUUGGAGAAGGAGAACCCAAAACAUCUGGGGGACAAUAAUUUGAAACAGAUACUCUUCUGGAGAAAGAGAUCUGGAAAGCAAUAGUAGGGUGAGAGCCUUAGUGGGUAGUGGGCUAACACAGUUAAGACAAAUGGGGUCUCUAAUGCUUGUGCAGUGGUCAAACCUGGCUAAUUGAAUUUGGAAGCCACAGAAGGUCAAUGGAUACAAAGAGAGGAUGCGAUUCUUAGAGUCUAUGUGUCUGAUGCCAUGUUCCUCCAGUCCUUCCUGGCUGUGCACUCAGAUCUCUCUAACUAGAAGGGAAAGUCAUAGAUUCCCUGCUAAUGAAGACAAAGCAGGGUUCUGAAAAAAAUUGAUCCUCUCAGUCCCCAGGGAAGCCGGAGCCCCUGGGCCAGUUCUUCAUGCUAUACCCAAUCUCUCUUUUCACUCUAAAGAGCAUUCAAAUAUUAUCAUUGUCUCUGAGUGCCAUACAUUUAAAAAGGUUAGGACCCACAGGCCUAGAAGACACACCCUCUGCUUGUUCUUCUUUCUAAAUAUUAUCGGUAAACAUUUUAACAUCAAAUAUUGUACACAUAUGAGAAGAGCCCAAAUAAUAGAUUUCCAACUUUAUGAAUUAUAUUAACUGAACAUACCUGUUUAACCAGCCCCCAGAUUAAGAUGUUGAACAUCACCAGAACUCUAAAAGCACUUCCCCUCACCCACUAUGGUAAUAUCUUCUUCUGAUCGCUACUCACCCGCUAACAGCAUGGAUCAGUUUUGCCUGAUCUUGAACUUUAUAUAUAGUUUUUACACCUGGCUUCUUUCAUUCAACAUUGUGUUUGUGAGUUUCAUGUAUGUGUUACAUUGUUAUACAUCUCCUAUUUUCAUUAUAGUGUAGUAUUCUAUUGGUAUUAUUAUUAGUAUAUUUAUAUAUAAAUAUAUAAAUAUUAGUAUUUAUUAUUAUUAGUAGUAGUAGUAUAUAGUAUUCCAUAGUAUAGUAUUCCCUUGUAUAAAUAUAUUCAGUUUGGGUUUGUCAUGAAAAUUUAUGUUCUUCUGGUGAGCAUAUGUACACAUUUCUUUUAACCAGCUUUUAAGAGUCUUUCAAGAUAACCUGCUUGUAUUUCCUUUACGUGUCUGAGGUUUCAUGGGCUCAAAACACAUUUAAUUAUUUUUCCUCUCUCUAUUUCUUGAAAAAAAGAUGAAAACAGCCAAUCAUGACUAUGAAUUAUUAUUCUCAACUGAGGCCAGAUCUUUAUGUACUUGAUCAGAAGCAUUAUUAUACAGGCUUAUUUAUAAGCAUACUGUGAGAAGCCU
Long non-coding RNA from Bubalus bubalis (water buffalo), 2267 nucleotides. RefSeq lists it as uncharacterized. NCBI's taxonomy places the organism in Eukaryota, Metazoa, Chordata, Mammalia, Artiodactyla, Bovidae. The transcript is spliced from 3 exons. The record is from RefSeq and is a predicted model, not a curated record.